This is a long non-coding RNA of Homo sapiens (human), 729 nucleotides long. RefSeq lists it as uncharacterized. The record is from RefSeq and is a predicted model, not a curated record. NCBI's taxonomy places the organism in Eukaryota, Metazoa, Chordata, Mammalia, Primates, Hominidae. The transcript is spliced from 3 exons.
AUGACUGAACAAUAAGAAUCGUCGAUCUGGUUGUUUGGUACAUGAGUAUUCAUCUUAUUUCUUUUUCACUUUUUCUGUGCAUUUGAAAGCUUUCAUAGGAAGUCAGAAAAUGUAUCUGGUUGUUAAAACAAUAUUGUAACGUACACACACAGUCCAUUUCCAGUCCCAGAAUUGAGACAGUUAGUGCAGAGGCCACUGGCUCAGCUGUGGAAACCAGACUGCACGGUCCAUCUGCACCCAUGCUGUCUGUGAGCCCUGGGAAUGUCGCUUCCUGUCUCUGGGCCUCAGUUUCCUUCUCUAUAAAAUGGGCUGAUGCUGUUCCUGCCACAGAGGCUGGUGGGAUUCAGGCCACAUACCCCGGCACAUCAGCGUUCCGUUGUUACACAUUUGAAUACUCCCAAGCCAGUUGGUAAACAGUUGACUCUCCGGGACCCCUUGCACGUUUCCACGACUCAGCAAUCAACGUGGAGCUGAACUGGCUGUGAAGCGUUUUGAGCACUGCCCGUGUUUGUCUCACAGCCCUCACGGGAAUCCCGGUUAAUAUACUCAAUGAGCGGAGCCCUGAAAACCCCGCCUGCCACCUCGUGCAGCUGUGUCACUGGGAUGGACACAGGAAGCAAUGUGGGGUCUUUGCUGCCAGUGAGCUCCCGGUCUAGGAGAAGAGAGAGGAAGCAUCUUUAUCUGUGUUAUCCCAGGAUCUCACUCUGUCACCCAGGCUGGAGUGCACUG